CGACCGGCGCACGGGUGCGUAACGCGUAUGCAACCUACCUUUAACAGGGGGAGUAACACUGAGAAAUUGGUACUAAUACCCCAUAAUAUCAUAGAAGGCAUCUUUUAUGGUUGAAAAUUCCGAUGGUUAGAGAUGGGCAUGCGUCGUAUUAGCUAGUUGGUGGGGUAACGGCUCACCAAGGCGACGAUACAUAGGGGGACUGAGAGGUUAACCCCCCACACUGGUACUGAGACACGGACCAG
RNAcentral lists this ribosomal RNA (242 nucleotides) under uncultured bacterium. Its description in RNAcentral is "partial 16S ribosomal RNA". It matches the Rfam family "Bacterial small subunit ribosomal RNA", at positions 92 to 334 of the family's 1533-position model. The record is from RNAcentral.